This 301-nucleotide ribosomal RNA is filed under the name uncultured bacterium. RNAcentral's name for it is "partial 16S ribosomal RNA". It matches the Rfam family "Bacterial small subunit ribosomal RNA", at positions 509 to 807 of the family's 1533-position model. The record is from RNAcentral.
CAGUCGCCGCGGUAAUACGUAGGUGGCAAGCGUUGUCCGGAAUUAUUGGGCGUAAAGCGCGCGCAGGUGGUUUAAUAAGUCUGACGUGAAAGCCCACGGCUCAACCGUGGAGGGUCAUUGGAAACUGUUAAACUUGAGUGCAGGAGAGAAAAGUGGAAUUCCUAGUGUAGUGGUGAAAUGCGUAGAGAUUAGGAGGAACACCAGUGGCGAAGGCGGCUUUUUGGCCUGUAACUGGCACUGAGGCGCGAAAGCGUGGGGAGCAAACAGGAUUAGAUACCCCGGUAGUCCCUGUCUCUUAUAC